UGGGAUAGUACUGUAUGAGGCGU
This 23-nucleotide microRNA is filed under the name Gallus gallus (chicken). RNAcentral's name for it is "gga-miR-7459-3p". The record is from miRBase by way of RNAcentral. Lineage: Eukaryota; Metazoa; Chordata; Aves; Galliformes; Phasianidae.